CACGUAGGCACCAAGCGUUAUCCGGAUUUAUUGGGCGUAAAGAGCUCGUAGGCGGUUCGGUAAGUCGGGUGUGAAAACCCUGGGCUCAACCCAGAGAGGCCACCCGAUACUGCUGUGACUAGAGUGCGGUAGGGGAGCGGGGAAUUCCUGGUGUAGCGGUGAAAUGCGCAGAUAUCAGGGGAACACCAGCGGCGAAGGCGGCGCUCUGGGCCGGAACUGACGCUGAGGAGCGAAAGCAUGGGUAGCGAACAGG
RNAcentral lists this ribosomal RNA (253 nucleotides) under uncultured bacterium. RNAcentral's name for it is "partial 16S ribosomal RNA". It matches the Rfam family "Bacterial small subunit ribosomal RNA", at positions 524 to 776 of the family's 1533-position model. The record is from RNAcentral.